Podarcis lilfordi (Lilford's wall lizard) is the source of this 64-nucleotide non-coding RNA. NCBI's taxonomy places the organism in Eukaryota, Metazoa, Chordata, Lepidosauria, Squamata, Lacertidae. The record is from the annotation of a GenBank genome assembly.
GUCUAGCUCAGUCGGUAGAGCAUGGGACUCUCAGGGCUGUGGGUUCAAGCCCCCAUGUUGGACA